GAAGUAGGAUCCUUAACCGCCGCUUCAACCUCCAUCGACGACGAUGAUGCCAACUCCAGCACCUUCCUUUCACCACCGCCACCACCACCACCGCUUACACCGACAACACCGCUAUCAUUCUUAGCCAAAUUAUCAUCAUCACACAAAACAACAGCGUCGUUGUCGUUUGGAACCAACUUGGCUGCUCGCAUUAGUAGAGAUUUCUCAACGAUUCUCAAGCUCAGAUCCUCGUUCGCCUCUUCGUCGUCGCCGCUGCUCACUUCUAUCACCGGCUUCUCUUCUUCUUCUUCUUCCCGAAAUUUUCCUUUUAGCUUGUUUCCCCGUGCCAUUCUUGUGUCUAGAGAAUAAAUGAAAAUCCUUAAUUUGAAUUAUGCUGGUUCAGAAGCAAGAGUUCCUCGUCGCCCACCGAGAAGAGGAAGGGUCGCUAGGGUUUGUGCCCUUAUAAAACUU
Molecule: unclassified non-coding RNA, 450 nt
Filed under: Hevea brasiliensis (rubber tree)
Lineage: Eukaryota; Viridiplantae; Streptophyta; Magnoliopsida; Malpighiales; Euphorbiaceae
Source: RNAcentral